Molecule: ribosomal RNA, 395 nt
Filed under: Littorina littorea
Lineage: Eukaryota; Metazoa; Mollusca; Gastropoda; Littorinimorpha; Littorinidae
Description: SSU rRNA
Rfam family: Eukaryotic small subunit ribosomal RNA
Source: RNAcentral
GUGCCAGCAGCCGCGGUAAUUCCAGCUCCAAUAGCGUAUACUAAAGUUGUUGCGAUUAAAAAGCUCGUAGUUGGAUCUCAGGCAUGGGCGCACGGUCCGCCUCGCGGCGGUCACUGUGUGUAUGUUUCCCCUCCUACGCUUCCCGGUUGUUAGCCCAUGGUGCUCUUCAUUGAGCGUUUUGGGUGGCCGGAACGUUUACUUUGAAGAAAUUAGAGUGUUCAAAGCAGGCACGUCGCCUGAAUAAUGGUGCAUGGAAUAAUGGAAUAGGACCUCGGUUCUAUUUUGCUGGUUUUCGGAACACGAGGUAAUGAUUAAGAGGGACAGACGGGGGCAUCCGUAUUGCGGUGUUAGAGGUGAAAUUCUUGGAUCAUCGCAAGACGAACUACUGCGAAAGC